Long non-coding RNA from Etheostoma cragini (Arkansas darter), 172 nucleotides. RefSeq lists it as uncharacterized. The transcript has 3 exons. Lineage: Eukaryota; Metazoa; Chordata; Actinopteri; Perciformes; Percidae. The record is from RefSeq and is a predicted model, not a curated record.
AAUGUGAUGAAUGGGGUUUUAGUACUGUUAGUGGCCGGGUUGGAUCAGUGGGGACAGCAGGCACACAUAUACUUAGAGGUUUAUGCCUCGACGCAGAGGUCCAGGGCUCAAAUCCGACCUGUGGUGAUUUCCUGCAUAUCUUCCUCCUUCCUUACUCAUCUAGCUGUCCUUA